RNAcentral lists this long non-coding RNA (266 nucleotides) under Lathyrus oleraceus (garden pea). RNAcentral's name for it is "Pisum sativum (pea) long non-coding RNA (PSAT_LNC002160)". The record is from RNAcentral. Lineage: Eukaryota; Viridiplantae; Streptophyta; Magnoliopsida; Fabales; Fabaceae.
UUAAUUUGAUAAAACUCCUACCAUGACCAAUUUGUGUUUCUCUCAUCUCCCCUCCCUCUUCAUCUUCAAUCCCAUUAUCUCCCAUCCUUUUCAUUGACUUAUGAAAUACCAAUAUCCUAAGGCUAAUUCGUUCAUCAAUAACCUUGUCUUAGAUGAACCAAUACAAAUAUGGAUGAGAUAGGUCCAUCCUUUGAUCUUUUUCUUUUUAUGUAUGGUAAGUUUUAGGAGUUUGGUUCAUUAUACCAUAUCUCUAACAUGCAUUAACA